Long non-coding RNA from Ailuropoda melanoleuca (giant panda), 4029 nucleotides. RefSeq lists it as uncharacterized. The record is from RefSeq and is a predicted model, not a curated record. The transcript has 6 exons. NCBI's taxonomy places the organism in Eukaryota, Metazoa, Chordata, Mammalia, Carnivora, Ursidae.
UCCCGCCCUCAGAUGUUUGGGACUCAGCUGAAGGCGGGGGGGGGGGGCGGUCCUCGCUGUGGGGGCUGAACCCCCCGGGGAUGUAAGGAGACAAAGGAAUCCAGGUCCAACUCUUUCCCGCUUUGGGGCUCGUUGCCUCGGCUGUCUCAUAGCUCUUCAUACCAGUGGCCCAGCUCAUACCAGGUGCUUGAAGGAGGCAGGUUCUGAGGAUCUGAGUCCUAAUGGCUGCUGAAGCUUCUACUCCAGAUUCAAGGGCAGCAGUCCUCAGGAGGCCCCAAUAUCUCACAUUCCUGGUGGAAUCUGACGCCUGGAUCAAUGGAACAGCAGACAAGGCUGUGGACUCUGAGCCCCAAGAAUAGGAGCCGAUAGAGAACAAAGUGUGAUGUUGAGUGUGCUAGAUCGGUUCCUAGAGCGAGAGUGAGGAGAUUAAGAUCCUACCAUUGGGACCAUUUAGUGGAACAGCAGAGAAGUGUGUGGACUCUGAGCCCCAGAAACAGGAAGCAAUAGAGAAGAACGAGGUGUGAUGCCCAGUGUGCUAGAUAAGUUGCUGGAGCAAGAGUGACAAGAUCAGGGUCCCAUCACUGGGAUACUUUAGGCAAGUGAUGGAUACAGAGGGAUUGUUCCAGUUUAGUGAAAAUCCAGAAAGCUGGCUGAUCCCAUGAAGUCGAACUUCCAACCUCCAUCCUCCCUCCCCUGUGUGGAGCCCUCUGGUCUGAGACGCAGAGCUGCCAUCCUGGAUCUCACAACCAGAAGCUUCCCAGAAGUUUGGUAUUAGAGGUACUUUGUUGCCCCCUUGUGACAAAAACUCUGAACUGCAGCUUGAACGUGUCUUGGAAGGAAAGUGGGAGCGAGGGGCUCUGACCCAAACUCAAAAGAUACUGAACUGUCUGGAAGUCAAGAUGAAGACGAUAGAAUUCUUUGGGUACAGCGUAUUGAUGGCUUUCUCUAGACAUUUUAUACAAAUGGAAUUAUACAAUAUGUUGUCUUUUGCAUACUGAUCUUCCUUCUCUUGUCUUAAUAUUUUCAAGCUUCAAAUACCGUAGAGUGUAUCAGUAUUUCAUUCCUUUUUUUGGCCAAAUACACCACAUUUUAUUUACCCAUUCACUGAUAGGCGGACAUUUGAGUUGUUUUCACUUUUGGCUAUUAUGAAUAAUGAUGCUAUGUACAUUCCUUUACUAGUUUUUAUGUAGACAUAUGUUUUCAUUUGUCCUGGCUGUGUGCCUAGGAGUGAAAUUGUUGAGUAAUUUAGUAACUCUCCGUUGAGCUGUUUGAGGAACUGCCAGACUGUUUUCAUGACCCUGACAGUGUUGAGGAGUGCAGGCACAGUCUGUCAUUUUUCUUCUGAUUGGACUCUUGUUAUGAGUUUUGAGAAAGAAACCGUAGAGUUGAAGUGCCCUUCUUGUCACUUCCUAUUUAGGAGGAGGUGAUACCCACUUGACAUCACUUCGUCACUGGAGAUGCUGACCUUCAUCACAGGGUUUAGGGUGGGGUUUGGCUAGUUUCUUCAGUGUACAGUAACUAUUUUCCAUUCACCUGUUCUAUUCUCGGAAGUGAGUCACUAAGUCUGUCCUGCCCUCGGGGGUGGGAGUGAGAUAUGGUUCUUCUCAUGGAGGCAGGGUAUCCACAUAUAUUAUUUGGAGUUACUUAAAGAUAGUUUAUCUCAUGGAAUCCAUUUUUUGUUAAUUCAGACGUUUACAUAUAUGUCCGUAUGGAUUCAUGUAUACGUAUUUUCCCAGGUUUUUUUUUUUUCAAAUGGCUACAUCCCAAAAGAAGGUCUAGCAUCAUGAUUUCUCUGGUGUAGAAGAUGGAUUUUGACUGAACACUCAGGAAACUGCAAAAGAGUUCCCUAACUUUGCCAUUAUAUAUCACCACCUGUUAUCUAAAUAUGGUAUGUUAGACAAUGUUUUUAGGUAAUAUAUUUACCCGUGGCAGAGUUUGGAAUGACAUUACACUUUCAUAUGCUUUUAUUCCAUGAUUGAUUUCCUUGAAAAAGAAAUAAAAACAUAUGACAGAGGUAUUGAAAUGAUGAUAGCAAAUUAUUGCUAACAUGCAGAAAACAUAUUUGCAAAAUCCAUUCAAUGCAGCAAAAUGAUAAGAUAUGUCAGAGAAAAUGUGUGCUUCGUUUGAAAGCCCGUUGUGAAAAGCACAGCACUUUAGUUAUCUGAGUCCAAUUCUAUGGAAGGUUAUUUUACAACUCUAGCUUUUAAUGUAGCUGAUCCCAUUGUACUAUAAUCCUUGUUAUACCCAAGCAAUUGAAUUCUGAUCUGGGGAUAGGAGAUCCUUUCCUUUUGGGGAAAUAGUUGUUUGCAUCCAUUGAACAAUCAUUUCAACAUUAUAGCUAUGUACGUGUGAUAAGGAAGUGGCUGUUGAGUUGGUAAGUACAGUUUCCAUGGAAACAUGAGGGAACAUGGCCUCGUUAUAUAAUGAAUGAAGACUGAGUUGGAGAGGAGGUGCAGGGAGAUGUGAAUUGAGUAUGGAGAAUUUUUCUUAGAAUUUUGGUGCAAAGGCGAAAAUAUAUGUAAAAAGGAGAGUCACGAGAGUUGUGGCGAGGGGCCCAGGGCAUUAAAGCAUGUUUGUAAAUCACCAAUUAUAAGAGACUUGAGCAGGCUGAAAUCUUAAAGGGAAGGAGCCAUCUCUUCUUUGAUUGAACAUCUGAAUUUGCCACUCCACCCUGUCAGCACUUUACUUACUUGUUUCCACUCUGGAGUGGUGUGAUCCUUAACUAAAAGGAAUGGUAUAGAGUUUGGUAUUAAUGCCUGUUAAGUAGAUGAAUGGAUGAAUGGAUGCAGGAGAUGUCUAACAUGUCCUGCAAAAUCACCGAUUUUUGCAUCUUAGGGCAGAGCUCUUCAGGCAGCUAAUGAACCCGUGGUGUUGGGUGGCUGAGAGGAUGCAGCUUCUCAGGACACAGCAACUGAUGGCUGCAAGAUGGGAGGCAUUUCAAGUGUGGAGGACCAGCCUGAGCACUGCAGUUGCUGUAGAAACCUGACAUCAUUGUGGGAUGUUAACGAUUUCUAAAUAGAGACAGAUAUGUCCUGGGAAGAAGAGCAUGUCUGCCUGCCUUCAGGUAGUUGGGACUCACCUGGGAGAGUGGGUGUCUGUGAUGGCGGCUGAAAUGCCCUGAGGUGUGGGGAGACAACAGGAUUCAGAUCCAAAUCACCUCUUUCUGACUUUGGGACGUGGUGCCCUGGCUGUUACUUAUGGAAAGCCAUUGGGGUCCCAUCUGACCCCAGCGACUGUGGGUCCUGCUCCAGGGGUGUCCUGGAGCUACUUUUCUUGCAAUGCAGCGGUGUGGGAGGUAAGAUGGGUAAUGACUCUGAGCCCCUGAUUCCCCCUUUGUACGAUGGAGAUGAGAAUGCUUCACCGACAGGGUCGCUGAGAACAGUCAGGGGUGCACAGGAGCAAGCCCGAGGCCCUGUGGCUACUGUGGGCUCAGGAAUGCUUGUAUGAAUUCAGGACACUUCUUAUUCCUUUUCGACUUUAUUGUUAGGGGGUAGACAAGGACAGGAGAGAAAAAAGGCCCUGGUGAAAAAUCCAUUAAAAUGUGUUUGUUAUGACCAUGACCCAUUGUAUCAGUGUCAUUGUCACUAAGCUAGUGUCUAGCAUGGUGCUGGGUGCAUCGUUACUCCAGGAAAACAGUGUGAGUGCUGGAUCUGUCUCUCCCUGUGCAGCUCUUCAUGCUGGUGGUCAAGCUCACAUCAGGACCUGAAGGAAGUAGUUUCUGAGGAUCUAUGUCCUGAUGGUUUCUGAAGCUACUAUUUCAGAUUCAAGGACAGCGGUCAUCAAGAAACCCCAGCACCUUACAUCCCUUGUGGCAUCUGUGGGAUCUGGCAUGCGUGACUUUAUAGCUGAAACAGAGCAUGUUGUGUAUGAGCUCCUUUGACACUAGAUGAGUUUUGAUCUCCUAUAGUAUUACAUGAAAGGAAUUAUACAGGUUGCAUUUGAUUUUCACGUGGCUUGUUACAUUCAGCCAUUGAUUGUUCUGAAUUAUCUUUUAUUUUACAUGCAUAUGUGGAACAUUAUUUAUGAAUA